GUACGGGAGGCAGCAGUGGGGAAUCUUGCACAAUGGGGGAAACCCUGAUGCAGCGACGCCGCGUGAGCGAUGAAGCCCUUCGGGGUGUAAAGCUCUUUCGGCAGGGACGAUGAUGACGGUACCUGCAGAAGCAGCUGCGGCUAACUACGUGCCAGCAGCCGCGGUAAUACGUAGGCAGCGAGCGUUGUUCGGAGUUACUGGGCGUAAAGGGUGCGUAGGCGGCCUCUUAAGUUUGGUGUGAAAUCUCCCGGCUCAACUGGGAGGGUGCGCCGGAUACUGAGGGGCUAGAGUGCGGGAGGGGAAAGUGGAAUUCCUGGUGUAGCGGUGAAAUGCGUAGAUAUCAGGAGGAACACCGGUGGUGUAAACGGCUUUCUGGACCGUAACUGACGCUGAGGCACGAAAGCGUGGGGAGCAAACAGGAUUAGAUACCCCGGUAGC
Molecule: ribosomal RNA, 438 nt
Filed under: uncultured bacterium
Lineage: Bacteria
Description: bacterial SSU rRNA
Rfam family: Bacterial small subunit ribosomal RNA
Source: RNAcentral